GACGAACGCUGGCGGCGUGCCUAAUACAUGCAAGUAGAACGCUGAAGAGAGGAGCUUGCUCUUCUUGGAUGAGUUGCGAACGGGUGAGUAACGCGUAGGUAACCUGCCUUGUAGCGGGGGAUAACUAUUGGAAACGAUAGCUAAUACCGCAUAACAAUGGAUGACCCAUGUCAUUUAUUUGAAAGGGGCAAAUGCUCCACUACAAGAUGGACCUGCGUUGUAUUAGCUAGUAGGUGAGGUAACGGCUCACCUAGGCGACGAUACAUAGCCGACCUGAGAGGGUGAUCGGCCACACUGGGACUGAGACACGGCCCAGACUCCUACGGGAGGCAGCAGUAGGGAAUCUUCGGCAAUGGGGGCAACCCUGACCGAGCAACGCCGCGUGAGUGAAGAAGGUUUUCGGAUCGCAAAGCUCGGUUGUAAGUCAAGAACGAGUGUGAGAGUGGAAAGUUCACACUGUGACGGUAGCUUACCAGAAAGGGACGGCUAACUACGUG
RNAcentral lists this ribosomal RNA (497 nucleotides) under uncultured bacterium. Its description in RNAcentral is "partial 16S ribosomal RNA". It matches the Rfam family "Bacterial small subunit ribosomal RNA", at positions 28 to 507 of the family's 1533-position model. The record is from RNAcentral.